RNAcentral lists this ribosomal RNA (484 nucleotides) under uncultured bacterium. RNAcentral describes it as "partial 16S ribosomal RNA". It matches the Rfam family "Bacterial small subunit ribosomal RNA", at positions 30 to 507 of the family's 1533-position model. The record is from RNAcentral.
AUUGAACGCUGGCGGCAGGCCUAACACAUGCAAGUCGAGCGGAUGAAGGGAGCUUGCUCCUGGAUUCAGCGGCGGACGGGUGAGUAAUGCCUAGGAAUCUGCCUGGUAGUGGGGGAUAACGUCCGGAAACGGGCGCUAAUACCGCAUACGUCCUGAGGGAGAAAGUGGGGGAUCUUCGGACCUCACGCUAUCAGAUGAGCCUAGGUCGGAUUAGCUAGUUGGUGGGGUAAAGGCCUACCAAGGCGACGAUCCGUAACUGGUCUGAGAGGAUGAUCAGUCACACUGGAACUGAGACACGGUCCAGACGCCUACGGGAGGCAGCAGCGGGGAAUAUUGGACAAUGGGCGAAAGCCUGAUCCAGCCAUGCCGCGUGUGUGAAGAAGGUCUUCGGAUUGUAAAGCACUUUAAGUUGGGAGGAAGGGCAGUAAGUUAAUACCUUGCUGUUUUGACGUUACCAACAGAAUAAGCACCGGCUAACUUCGUG